Molecule: non-coding RNA, 935 nt
Filed under: Acrochordus granulatus (little file snake)
Lineage: Eukaryota; Metazoa; Chordata; Lepidosauria; Squamata; Acrochordidae
Source: RNAcentral
UAAGGUCUUGGUCCCAAACCUUAUAUUGUUCAUACCAUUACUUAUACAUGCAAGCCUCUACCUCACGGUGAGUACACACUAUCUCAAUAGAUAAAACUAGGCAUCAGGCUAAAAACUAGUACCAAAAACGCCAAGAACAAUCCACACCCACACGGGUAUACAGCAGUAAUUUACAUUGGGCUAUAAGUGAAAACUUGACCCAGCAAAUGGUACCUUAGAGCCGGUAAAUCUCGUGCCAGCGACCGCGGUUACACGAUAGGCCCAAAACAAUAUUAACGGCGUAAAGCACGAUUAGAACCACCAUCACAACAUUAAGGAAGAAGCCACUCCAAGCCGUAAAAAGCCAUAAGCCAAACUAAACAUUCAACCUUAAUCACUAGACCUAUUCAACUCGUGAAAAUCAGGAUACAAACUAGGAUUAGAUACCCUACUAUGCCAGAUCGUAACAAGAUAGUACCAUACAAACACUAUCCGCCAAACAACUACGAGUGAAAACUUAAAACUUAAAAGACUUGACGGUACUUCAUAACAACCUAGAGGAGCCUGUCUAAUAACCGAUAACCCACGAUCAACCCAACCACUUCUAGCCAUCCAGUCUAUAUACCGCCGUCACCAGCCCACCUUGUGAAAGAAACAAAGCAAGCUCAACAAUAUAACACUAGUAAGACAGGUCGAGGUGUAGCAAAUGAAGUGGACCAAGAUGGGCUACAUUUUCUAACACAGAAAACACGAACAGAAAUAUGAAAAACUCCUAGAAGGCGGAUUUAGCAGUAAGCUAAGAACACCAUACUUAACUGAAACUAACGCAAUGAAGUGCGCACACACCGCCCGUCAUCCCUGCCACUAAAAUUAACACCACUACAUAAACCAUUAAACAUUAAUAAAUCAGGGCAAGUCGUAACAUGGUAAGUGUACUGGAAAGUGCACUUAGAAUA